UGACGCAGCCAUGCCGCGUGAAUGAUGAAGGUCUUAGGAUUGUAAAAUCGUUUCACCGGGGACGAUAAUGACGGUACCCGGAGAAGAAGCCCCGGCUAACUUCGUGCCAGCAGCCGCGGUAAUACGAAGGGGGCUAGCGUUGCUCGGAAUUACUGGGCGUAAAGGGAGCGUAGGCGGAUAGUUUAGUCAGAGGUGAAAGCCCAGGGCUCAACCUUGGAAUUGCCUUUGAUACUGGCUAUCUUGAGUACGGAAGAGGUAUGUGAACUCCGAGUGUAGAGGUGAAAUUCGUAGAUAUUCGGAAGAACACCAGUGGCGAAGGCGACAUACUGGUCCGAUACUGACGCUGAGGCUCGAAAGCGUGGGGAGCAAACAGGAUUAGAUACCCUGGUAGUCCACGCCGUAAACGAUGAGUGCUAGUUGUCGGCAUGCAUGCAUGUCGGUGACGCAGCUAACGCAUUAAGCACUCCGCCUGGGGAGUACGGUCGCAAGAUUA
Molecule: ribosomal RNA, 493 nt
Filed under: uncultured Pseudomonadota bacterium
Lineage: Bacteria; Pseudomonadati; Pseudomonadota
Description: bacterial SSU rRNA
Rfam family: Bacterial small subunit ribosomal RNA
Source: RNAcentral